AUCUAUGGCCAUACCACCCUCGAACAUGCCCGAUCUCGUCUGAUGUCAGAAACUAAGCUGGGUAGGGCCUGGUUAGCACUUGAAUGGGAGAAAGAUCAUUCUCAUAAAAC
This is a ribosomal RNA of Microcebus murinus (gray mouse lemur), 110 nucleotides long. The record is from Ensembl. Lineage: Eukaryota; Metazoa; Chordata; Mammalia; Primates; Cheirogaleidae.